RNAcentral lists this long non-coding RNA (22902 nucleotides) under Coffea arabica (coffee). RNAcentral describes it as "long non-coding RNA (CARA_LNC007234)". The stretch from base 19069 to 19114 matches the Rfam family "Histone 3' UTR stem-loop". The record is from RNAcentral. Lineage: Eukaryota; Viridiplantae; Streptophyta; Magnoliopsida; Gentianales; Rubiaceae.
UUUUUUUUUUUUUUUUUUUUUUUCGGCGGGGAGUGGCGUGCUGGUGUGGACCUAUGUAAUUCACGGUGUUAAUGCAUGCUUGAAGGUCAAGGUGUUGUUGCAAUCUGGGGUGGAUGUGUUUUUGUUUUUGACUUGCCCAAAGGAUGAAAUUCAUUUAAUAUUUUAGGUGGCGACAUUGAUAUAUAUAAAUAAAUAAAUACAUAAAUAUAUAUUUCUUAGACUCGGAGCUUUCCCAUGUGCCCUGUACAAAAUAUAUAUAUUUUUUUGAGGAUUGCCUUGUGUAAUUCAGAUAAACAUUACAUAUGCAUAUGAUAGAUACUAGGCAGAUACUAGUUAUAAUUCAGAUAAACAUUACAUAUGCAUAUGAUACUAGGCUAUAUUUUUUGGAGAACCCGUUUGAAUUGCUAGUUGUUAGAAUUUUUGGUGAAAAAAUAUACUGUAACGAUUUGAUAUAUAUGAAUUAAGAUGCGACUGAAAAAUAUGUUGACGAAAAAUAUAGAAGUUUUCUUCAAAAAAUUGCAAUUCAAACAAUGCUCUUACAUUGUUCUUUAAACUUCUUUUUUAUGAAAAGGUCUGGAUGCAUGUUACAUGAUUUUGAUUCGCAUACACAUCUUCUUUUAGCAUGUAUAAAAAUGUCUUUACAUUGGAAAAUCAACCAUUUCUCUAUUACUUUGUAUGUGUUGCAUUUAGUAAAGCAGUUGUUAAUAUAUAUUAAUAUAUAUCUUCAAAUUGCUCAUGAAUCGGUUGAUUGCGAAGACAAUUCUUAUUGCUUGCCUAUUUUUUGCCAUAAUGAUAAGGAGUUAAGCAAGAAAAGAUAACUGUCAUGUAUUUAGCUGAAACUUUUUUUUUUUUUUUUUUUUGGAGAUUUUCUAUCCUUCAAGUGGCACUAAUUUUUCACUUUGAAUAGAUCCAACACCUUUACAUGGAUGGUAACAAUAAUAAUUUCUAUGUAGAGGGAAAAAUAAAGGGAAUGUGGAGGUUUACAAAAUUUAAAAAGGACAAUUGUAUACCUAUUGAACUUAAAAACACUUUAUAACCGUAUUUUAUAAUUUUUCAAAGUAGAGAGCAAUUGUCCACUCUUAAUUGUAUAUCGCUUUGCAUUUACUUGUACGUACGAUUAUAUCUAAUAAUCGUAUUUUAAUUUUGGCAUAUAUACCUUCUUAGCGAUGGAUUACACUUUCUCCUCCCAUAUGAUAGAGAUCUAAUAUGGUAAAUCCCAACAUUCUGCAUCAAAUUACAAAGGAAAUAGGAUUUGACAGUCGAAACUUGUCAUUCUCAAAGCUUUUGUUGUUAUCUUUUGGUCCGAAUGUCAUCUCUAUAUACAUCAUUUGGUCAAAUUUUAUAUACUUGUAGAUAUGGUUGAAUCCAUUGUGACACUAGCACAAAUCUGCCCAAUUUUGAUCCUUUCCCUGAGGGUCCCAAAUGACUUGGCUUGUUGCAAUUUCAAUCAAAGCUGGGGAGCAGAGCAAGGUGGGGAACCCACUGAACCGUUUCCCACUCGUGAAUGCUAAUGAGUAGCCUAACAAGACAACAACAAUCUUAAAACGUUGUUGGUCUUGAAAGGUUCUAAACUUCCAUACAGAAGACGAGGACGGUAGCAAUCUAGCUAUCUUUAUCGUAUGCCUCCGUUUUUCUUUAGUUUUUGGAUCUAAAUUUACAACUACUUUCCUGAUGUUUAAAAUGAUACUGAAAUUCAUGUGAGGAGUUGUUGUUCUUAUUUCCCCCAAGGUAAAGUUCUUAUAGUCAAAUUAGUCAUUUAGUUUUGUUCCGUAUUUAUGGAAAUUCGUAUGCUUUUAGUUAGAGGUGGCAAUUUGUCCCAAGUCCCAAUGGGUUACCCAUUCCCAUUGAGACUUUGGGCGGGAUGGGUAUUAGGAUUUGAUAUUGGUUUAAAAUGGGACAAAUCCCAAUUGUACCCAUUAAUUGAUGGGAAAUUUUGGAAAUUGCUUGGGUACCCAUUGGGCUCAAAUAGCAAGGGCUCCGUUUGGAUUAACUAUUUUUUGGGGGUGUUUUUGAAAUAUUUUAUUGUAGUAGUGUAUAUGAAAAAUUUUUACUAUAAAAUAUUUUUUGAAAUAUUUGAUAUACUAAUAUGGAUGGGAUGUUUUUUGAGUUAUUGUAUAUUACUGUAACAUUGUAUUUGAAAAUCUUAUUUUUUGAAAAAAUAGCCAAUCCAAACGGAGUCUUAGAUUCAAAAAUUAUCUUUAACAAUUUUUAUAGUCAUGAUUGUAUAUCUAUCUUUUCCUUUAUUUGUUAAUCCAAUUUUUGGUGAUAAUCUUGAGUAUAAAGCACUUGCAUGUUUAUUUAAUAAAACUAAAAGAAAUUUAAUAAAUCAAAAAUAUUAAAAUUAUAUUAAAAAAUAAAAAAUAAAUUAAAGGAAAAAAAUAUGUAGAAAAUAGAUUUGGGUAUUGGGCGGGAUCAAUCUAAACCCAUCCCAAAGUGAUCCCGCCCAAGUUAGUCCCAAAACAUAUAUGGGUAAGGUUGGGCCCAAACCCAUAUGACUCGAUUCCAUCUUAAACCCAAGCAAAUCCCGCCCAUCCCGCCCAUUUUGCCACCUCUACUUUUAGUUAAUUAAGAGAGCCAACAAUUUGAUAACCUUCAUUUCUUAUAGAUCAUGUAAUCAAGAUCGCACUGUGUCAUUAAUUAUAUGUGGCUGCAUAUUACAUUAUCGGCCUAUGUAACGAGUGCCCCAUAAGCACUCGUUAAAAUGUAUUUCAGGUGUUAUAUUUUUACAAAUAUGAGAUUAAUUAGAAAAAGUAUAUAAAUGCAAGGAGAUUAAGUAGCGAAAGUGUAUAAAUGCAAGAGAAAAAGUAAUUAUUAGUGCGUAUAUAUACAUGAUAGGUUAGGUGAAUUUUAGAUGUAUUAACAGGUGCCCAAUUACAUUACGCGAUUGAAUUUCAACCAUAUGGUUAUACGCAAUUGUUACACCAAAGAUACUUAUCAAAUUAGGAAAAAAAAAAAAAAAGGGGUCCUUGGGAUGAUUUUUUUUUUUCUUUUUCUUUGGGGUGUUUGGGAAAUUUUUAUACGUUUCGGUGCGCAGGUCAAGUAGUUGCUUCAAAACCAAUAAAAAUUUCACAUGAAUACACAAAGGUUCCAUUUGAUUUCAUUUAACAUGCUAAGUGAGUCCCACUUAAUAUGUGAAUUAGCAAGUGGAGUUUAUACAUAUUCAUGUAGAACUUUUCAAUUAGUUUUGAACCAACCAUUGCAUAUGCCAAAUAAUUGCUCUACACCAACCUAAAUAUCUAGGGUUAUUUUUUGGGGCAGGGGGAGGGGGGAUUGGUGUUGCGGCUGGGGAUGAAGAGGGAGAGGAAGGGGAUGUGGGGGUUGGGGUUUAGGAUAUUAGACCACAUUUGGGCCACUCAUUCUUGUAGUGGCGUAAGCCAAACACAGAGUUGGAAUUUUCACAUCUACGUUGUUACAUUUUCUCAAACUUUAAUUUUCUUUAAUUAUCCUGCACAAAAAAAAAAAAAACUUAUGAUUUUCUAAGUUGCUAUAUAUUUAUAAGGCCUUCAAACUAAUGCAUGUAACAAAGAGCAUAUUUCAAUUAGUCCAGCAGAAAUUUGCGUAACAUACUAAAAGGGGGUCUAUUUCAGUACCCUUUCUUACACAUGUGGAAGAGAUUAAUUUAAACACUAGCCACAUGUGACAUCUCUUUCAAAAUUCUUUGAUUUCUUCUGUUGGGUAUUCUGCCUAAUUAAGAAACUGUCACGUAAUUUAAUUAGCUAAAGUUAGCAAUAGAUAAUGCUUUUUUUUUUUUUUUUUUCCCCUUUCAAAGAGAUGAAAGAAGAAGAAGAAGGUACGUAUGGUCUAAGAUACGUCCUAGAAAACUUCGACAAAGAAAACCUCAAGUAUAUCUAAAUUACGUGGACGCAGCAGCAUCUAUGACAAAUUUCUCAAAGUAGUUCAACAAAACCUCAUCAUGAAUUUUAUUAAAUACUUUGGUCAAAUUUAAACCAUCCCUUAAUAAGCGUAUUAUGACUUUUUAUAAUAAUGAUCCUUUCGGAUUUGACAUAAUUAUAGUGACCUUAAACCUAUCUUCUUAAGCUAUAUAUAGCAAGUUUUCAGGUCGGCAUCACCUUACCUAAUACACUGUUUAUGAACAUAAUCCUCAAAUUAAAUACAAAUAGUAGGGAAAGAGAAAUUUGAAGGAUGACCAAUUAAUCCCAGAAUUCAAAGAGGGGCUCUUUGUAUUAUGACAAAAAUUCAUGCUAAAGCUCUUUUGAUUACAAGUAGAAGGUCUUUCUACAGGAAUAAUUGAAGGAAAAAUUGUAGCUCCAAUUUCUUUGUCCUUAGGGGAUGUGAAAACACCCUGCAAUUAAUGCAUCUAAAAUCAACAUCUAGUAUGCUAGCUUUUUACAGUUGACAUGGUCUGCCAGAGCCUCCAUUUCAAUACACUGAUUCUAUUCGAAAGCAACAAUAUCUACAAUCUUCCACAUAUGAUCAUUAGCUCUUUAAGGUGUUGUAUUCAAGGUUUGACAAUCUUCAAUUGAUUCACAUGCACUAAUGUUUCAAUUCUAUCAAGAUCUUUAAAAGGGCGUACAGUUCAAAGAUUAGAAACAACUAUGUUGUACGACUAACUUAUCUAGAUUUAUUUAAUUGGGUUGGAGGAGAGUUUGGUCCAAAAAUGGAUUCCUAGUUAUUUGAAAGUACGAUUAUGGGCUGCUUUGACCUGACCUAUUCCUUUUACUUAAUUUCUACAAGAAGAGAGAUUUCUAUAUGAUGUUCUUGAUAUAUUUUUCUUUGCCUCAACAGGGCGGAUUAGAGGAUAUAUUGUCAAAAGUCAACUGGUUUGGUGGUAGUACAUACGAAAGAUUAGCAUUACUUGGUAUAUAUAUUUUGUCUUUACAAGGUGAUCAUGGAUUACUCUCUAAACGAUUGCUAUUUUUUUCAAGUGGGGGUAUCUUGAAGCUAAAUUGUCUUCCUAGUUUUCAUGCUUACAAUUCAAUAAGGGUGUAAACAAGUUUAGUCAAGUUGAGCACUAGCUUAAACUUGUUUAUUUAUUUUAACGGACUUCAAGUUAUGUACAAGUUUGACUUUUUAUUUAUAGAGCUGAAUACGAGUCGCUUAAGUUUUGAUAUAUAAAUUUCAAAGUUUACGCCUUUUGAGUUCAGAUCAAAACUUUACUAGAUGCAAAUCUCUGUUCAUAUUUGGCUUGAUUGCUUUGGUAAAUCACAUUCGAAGGAGCUCUUCAAGAGUUGACGAUGAUUUGAGUAUCGAGUAAUUUAGUUUUUUAGCCUCGUUUUAUGCAGGCAAUUACGAUAAAUUAGAAAGCUGACGGGGUGCACCAAAGAGAUUGAAUAAGAAGAGGCCUAAAACUCCUUGGAACUUUUUCAACGGACGUUGAGAACUUGAGGUGGUCUCUUGCAGGAUGUUGUCGACAAAUCUGCGUAUAAUUAGGCCAAGUGAAUCUGUAAUUCUCAGAAUCGCAGCACCUAUCAUCUUCGAUUUUUCAGGGGGAUUACCAAAAUCAAAUUAGGGAUAAUUGUAGAAACCUCCCCUGAGGUUUCUGACUAUUUUACUAUAGUCCCCUCUAUGUUUUAAAAAUUACACUAACCUCCCUUGAGGUUAAUUAUGUUGUAAAAUUAUUUUAGACCCAAUCAACAAUUAAAAAAUGACUUUAGAAAAGAAAAAAUAAUAUGAUUUCAUUAUUGCCCCUCUUCUAUAACAUUAUUUAAUUAAUUUAAUACCCAUUCAUACAUUAAAGAAAAAUAUUAAAAUUUGUUGUUUAUCAUUAGGGAUCAAUUCACAUAUAACAUUAAAAAAUAGUAUAUAUUUUUCACUUAAUACAAGAUCCAAAUUACUCUUUUAGUUAUAUAGCCAUUGUCAAACAUGAUCAAUAAUAAUAAUAAUAAAAAAUUUUGCAACCAAAAUAUUACAUAGAAUAAGCUUUAACAUCAUAAAUGUUUUUGUCAACAUAUUAAGGUUAGUUACUGAGGUUUUUAUGGUAUUAAAGUUUGCUCUUUGUAAUAUCUUGGUUACAGAUUUUUUGAUUAUUUGUUGUUGAUCAUGUUUAACAAUGGGUUUGUAACUGAAAAGAACAAUUUGGAUCUUACAUUAAGUUUAAUAUAUACAAUAUACUAUUUUUGAUGCCAUAUGUGAUUUAUUCCCUGAUGAUAAACAACAAAUUUUAGUGUUUUCUUUAAUGUUUAGGCUGGUAUUACAUUAAUUUAAACAAUUGAGUAGAAGAGCCGGACAUUGGUGGAAUUAUAUUAUCUUCUUUCUCCUAAUAUUACUUUUUAAUUGCUGGUUGGACCUAAAUGUUACAAGAUAAUAAAUUUCAAGGGAGGUUAGUAUAAUUUUCAAAAGUUAAGAGGAGGCCAGUGAAAUAGUCAGAAACCUCACCUCUAGGGAGGUUUCUGAAAUUAUCCCAUCAAAGCAAUAUCUUUAUUCACUCUAGUGGCUCGGCCUAAUAUUUCUUUAAAAGGGAUGCACAAAAUAUUCCACCAUAUUCCCUUUGAGCACUCUAACCUCCAAAAUUACGUGAAACAAAAAUUUCCAAAAUAUCUUGAGAAAAACAUCAAAUCCUGAUCAAUUGGAAAGACUUUCUUGACACUGAACUGAAUGUCUAUUUUAUUCACUUUAUUUUAUUUUUUUAAUGUUGAUUUUUGCGUAAUGAAAAAGUGUUGCUGGAUAAGGAUCGUGUAUAUGUCAACAUUAAAAGUUUCGCUUCAUGUGAAAACCAUGGAUACCAAAUAUGCGUGAAACACAACUACCAAGUAGAACACAUAUAAUUUUAUCUCUAGAAUUGUACCUAAUAUUUCUUGCUUGUAUUCCACAAUAAAUUUGAUUGAAGCAUCCAUUUAUGUCAAAUACACCUCCCCAACGUUAAACAAAGCUUGAUCUAUUAGUCAAACACUUUAAACAAGCUCUAAGGAGGUUCUUUUCAAGAAAUCAAUAUUCUUGGAAUAAAGCUCGUUACUUUGUGUGUUUGCUAUUUGUCAACUGGUAUAAUUACCGUCACAAUCAUGAUUAGAAUAUUACAUGUUAAUUUAAACAAGAAGAAGCCCCUUAAACUUAGAACUCAAGAUAAGAAAUAGCCCCUUAAACUUAGAACUCUAGAUAUGAAAUUCAGUGACUAUGGCUUAGAUGUAGGCUUCCCUUGAACCAGUUGGAUAGCAGAUCUGAGGAAUAGACAUUCACAAAUAUCUAUGGAUGAAUUUAUUUCAGAUUUGGAUCUAUCUCGGCAGAUCUCAUCAUCUUUAUUGGACCUUACAACUGUUGAUUAGCAGAUCUGACGAUUACAGCAUGCACAGAGUGAGCUGCAACGAUUUGUUCUAUGAUGGAAUGAUUUUAAAAUUUAUGGUACUUUUUAGAUCUGUCCUCAAUUUCUUAAGUCUUAUGUAUUUGUUAAAUUGCAGAUCUAUAAUUUUAGUGCAUGUUUUAUCUGCCAUUAAGGCAGUAAUGUAUAUCAAUCGUGCUGGACGAUUUCCAGUAAUCCGUUAUUGAAAUAUGUUUUCUUAUCAAAAAAAAGAUGUAGGUUUCCCUGUAAUUAAAUAUUUAGAGUCCGGUAUAUAUCUGAAUAGUUAUCAAAGUGGAAAUAUGUGAUGAUUAAUAAACCUCGCGGCCAGCUUAAUGAUCGCUAAAAAUGGUUUGAACAUAUGAGGUUGUGAUUCAAUUAACAAGUAUUGUGAUGUAGUGUGUAGGUUUAAUUAUGCAAUUAUACAGCUAGUUUACACUUGAUUAAAUUAGCUAGAUUACUUGAACAAGCUGUCCGACGACGUCAUGCACCGUAGUAUUUAUUCAUUAUUAUAAAGACAUGAACCACAAAUGUGAAAGGUAAAUUAUACUACAAAUGAGCCAUGGUACCUUCAAAACUUAAAAAAGGUUAAUAAAUGAGGAGAAAAAAUAUACACAAGCAGGAAGACGAUAUAUAUAAAUAUCAUAUGAUUAAACAAAUCACAGAAAAUUAGGCUAAUUAACCGAUAGUUCUGUUUCUAAAAGCAAUUACAGGAGAAUUGUCAUGAAAAAUUGCGCCCGUAUGGAUUAAUGUUUUCUUGAAAUUUUUGUAGAAAAAUGUACCGUCAUAAUUUGAUGUAUGUGACAUAAAAAGGUGAUUGAAAAAUAUAUUUAUGAAAAAUAAAAAAGAUUUUCUUUAGAAAUUGUAACCCAAUGUUAAAUUAAUAUUGUGCAUAAUAUUAACCUAAAAUGAAAAAAAAAGGAACUAAAAUGAAGGGAUAUAAAUGAUUAAUUCGGCAGGAAUGUGGAAAAACAAGCUAGAUAUCAAUUUGACAUCAAUUCAAAAUGUCGUUUCACAAGUCACGUAACAGCCAUAGGCCCAUACCCCUAAGCCGAAAGAGAAGAGAGUGACAAUUGACAAGGAUGUAUGCAAUUAAGGUUUCCGGUUUUCCUGUCUUUUUAAUGUAAUAUAUAUAUUACAUCAUGGACAUGCGCGCAUGUUCAUGCAUGGGGACAAGUCUUUCCCUGUCAACUGGCAUGUUACACUGUCUUUUGGUGGCUACAAAAAUCCAAAAAUUAGUCCAAUUUGAUGGGCCACUUUUGCUUGCCUAGCCGUGAUGGCGUACUCUAAAUUAAUAAGCCAAGUGGCAUGGAGAAAUGAGAAUUGUUCUGAGGCUGUGUGGAGGUUGAUUUGGGGCAUAAGAACACAGCUAAGAUCGAUGCCUUCCAUAUCACCAUCUCUUUUGCAGUAAAAUGACGUUACAGAAAAUAUCAGGAUUUCUGAGGUGUUGAAAUUUAUGAUGAUUCAUAAUGUAUUUCCCAUCCAACAAUGCAUGUGCAAAUCUUUCUCUAAUUGAUUGUAAAUACAGUUUCGAGUAGGGGUGGCUGUGGUUUCGUGUAAGACUUGCCUCUUUUAGAAGCGAUGGUGAUCCACGUGAUUCAUUGUAAAAUAAUUGACGUCUUAAGUAAUUGAGUGAUAUUUCGUCAAUAAUUGAUUAGUAUCUUCCAUUGGACGAUGAUCGAUCGAUUUCUUCUAGUAAUUAAUAUUUCAAAAUAAUCAAUUAAUUAGUUAGAGAUAUUUUCAAUUAUGAUUUAUGGUAACAUUCUCUUAACGAAAGGAAACCCUAGGGAUUGAAUAUUUGUCAAGCUCCUAACCUAGCCUAUAAAUAGCUUAUGAUAAUCCAUUCAUUAUUUUGGAUUAGGCAUAAAUUAGGAAGGAGACAUGGAGGAAGGAGGUAUAGUGGAUUUACAUUGGUAAUAUUCCGCUAUUUAGUACAUAUAAGUGUAUAUUUUGUAUAACAUUUUGUAUAAAAUUGGAACUAGAAUCGGCUCGAACUAUGAUACAAAGAAAAACGAAGGAGGGGGAUUGGUUCCCUAUUGUACUUCCGGUUUGAACCUUGUACUAUUAAGUAUAGGAGAUCAAAUCCAACUAUCCACAUUGAAGAAACUUAUGUUUUUUUUCCCUUAAGGAAUCAAUGGUAUGAGAUUUUUCUUAUAAGUCAUAUUUUUCCAUAAAAGACUAGCUCUUUAUGCAUUUCCUCUAUUAUAAGAAUAGAGUACCCAUUUUUUCAUAAAUAAAUUUAUUUAUAGGAUAAAAUAAAAAUAAGACAAUUUUCCAAUAAAACAUUAGCUCUUUAUAGCUUUCCUCCAUUAUAAGAACAGAGUAUCCAUUUUUCCAUAAACAAAUAUAUUUAUUGGAUAAAAUAAAAAUAAAUUCGUUCUCCAAUAAAACACCAGUACUUUAUAGUUUUAGAAUGAAGGAUUACAAUGUCGCUGUCUCUAUCACCAUCAACUUUUGACUCCCUACUUCUUCCAUCCCACCCAACACCAGAAUGAAAAAGAUUUCACAAAAGAUCAAACCUUACAUGAAAUGAUCAACUAUAAAGCUUUAUUAAUAUGUCAACCGCAACUAGGUUCAAAUGCUAUACUGAGCAGGUUCUUAAUAUACAAAAAACAAUUCGUACUAAAAUCUCACAAUUAAUUCGCAGCAAGUCAUCAUUCCUGCACUGAACAAGACCCCUGAAGCGAAGAUCUUUGGGUUGAGGUUCUUAAUAUACAAAGAAUAAUUCAUACUAAAAUCUCACAAUUAAUUCAUAGUAAGUCAUUUUUCUUACACUGAACAAGACCCCUGAAGCGAAAAUCACAAACCCUUGGAUUUGGGUUGUGGGUUUUCUUCAACUUUUUUUAGAGAUCUUUCUGGUGGAGAUCUUGUUGAACAAUUUGCCCACUAAAGAUAUUUGCCUACUAUUAAUCCAUUUAGAUCUACUUUAGAUCUUUCUUUUUUCAAGACAUUUUGGAUUAAUGAAGAAAAAGAGAUAGGAAAUCUGAUGAAGAAGAAGAACAUAAGGUGCGGCGUGUGAUGGAAAGAAAGAGAGGGUAGAUCCGUCAUAAAUGUUGUCUGAGGGAAUAAGUUGAGGAUUUUGUCCAAAACCUCCCAAUUUGCUCGGGAAUGGGAUAACUCCGAUUUUUUAGAAAUGAUUCCAAAAUUUGCAUUCGAAUAAACUUAACCCAAGCAUCAAAUAAGGGAUUUACUCUUUUCUAUGAUUUCCAAACCCUUUAACCAAGCAGUCUCUUAUUUUUAAUAGAAUAACAGAACAAUGCAAAACUCAUAUGUGAUUAGAGUUGUAAACGAACUGAAACGAACCGAGUAUCUCAUGUUUGAACUCUAUUCGUUAAGUGAUUCGAACUUCAUUCGUGUUCGUUCGUUAACUUUCGAACUCUAAACCUGUGUUCGUGUUCGUGUUCGGCUCGUUUAACAUAAAUGAGCCGUUCGUGAACACGCUAGAAAAGUUCGAAUCCAAAUUAUUUUAGGCAUUAAAUAUGUCACACAAAUCAUUAAUCAUCCUAAAAAAUAAUUAAAAGACUAAAUGACUAAAUUUCAUUAUUCAUUAACUGCAUAACCAACAUUAACAUAGAAACAACAAAUAAUACAAAGUAAUUUGUCCUUGAAAUGUAAAAAUUCAGCCAUAAGACAAGUACAAAUUUGCUCCACUUCACAAUUUGACUACUACUACAUCCACUUCAUCUAUCCAUUUGAAUCCAUCAGCCACGGCAAAGAAAAUGAAGUAAUUGGACCAAAUUCAUUGUAGUUGAAAAGAGCUAGGUGGACCAAGGCAUUCGAAUUUUUUUCCCCAAGACUCUGCAAAGAAUAGAAUAAUAAUCAACUACAAAAGUUUUCAAUCAAUUUUAAAAAUAUCAAUCAAAAGGAACUAGACAUCAUACACGCAUAUAGAGGAAUUAAGAAUGACAAACAUUGAAAAUUUCCACACAACCAACUGAAGACUGAAACAUUGAUUUAGCAGCUUGAAGCUCAAAAGCAUGGAAAUGGAAGGAAAAAAAAAUGCUUUGCUGCUUGCUGCUACUGCCUUGAUGUCUUAAAUCAUCAUGCCCCAGUUUUGACUGAUUAAUGAAUGUGUCUUGAUGAAAGUAAAAAAAGGAAAUGAUAUGCACAAGAAAUAUUACAUUAUUCCAAGAUUUCGAGUAUUAGAUGCCAGAAGACGAAACUACAGUUGAAGACAUCAAGUGAGGGACAAAUUGGCUAGCGUUAGUGCUAAAACUUUGACCCCUUCAAGCUUGCAAUCAAAUUCGAUCUAAUGAAUUCAAAAAAUUCCAGAUUGAAAAACACAAAUUCAUAGAUCUGUGAAAAAUCAUACCGAAUCAAAAGAGGGAGGCAUGCGAUCUCCGAAGUCAGCCAGCGACCAAAGAUGUUGAUUGGGGCAAUUGAAACUCCGGUCUCUCUCAGCAGCAGACAAGUACCAUUAACAAUCGAAAACUUGAAACCACAAAGGAGAAGACCAACUUGGGCUCCACCCCCAAACCCAAUGUCCAAUUUUAAAAGAGAAAGAAAAUCUAACUAGCUUAUGUGAUAGGAGAUUUGGACGGUAGAAAGUCUAGAACAGCAGUGGCCAACGGCAAUAGGGAAUGAAAACAAAAGUAAGGGGAAAGUUUUAGAAUUUCUUAUGAGUAACCCUAAAAUUUAUCAAAUGACAAUUAUGUCCUUAUUGUGACGCCCCGAAAAAAAAGAGUUUGAGAACCCGGAAAUUUUCUAAUUUUCUAGGGUUUAUUUUUUUUAACGCCCGCCUUUUCUACAUUUUCUUGAUUAGAAAAAUUCCCCAGAUAAAGUUUAUGAGCAAAAAUAGUUUUAAAAUGAUUUUUCUAGCAUCGGUUAGUUUUUGAGAAAUUAAAAGCGUAUUUUGAACGUGGGACCCGCAAGUGCGGUAAAUGUAAUAUAUUUUUGAUAACUUGUUGGAGUUUUGUGCUAAGUGAUAUUUUUCUACAAGGUGUUAAGAGAUAUUUAUGGAUUGGUGUGAGAGGGAACAAAGAGAUAGAGAUUCUUUAUUUAAGUGACAAGUGUCACUUGGCUAUUGGUUGGACCAUUUGACUACUAUUGCAUGUCUUACCAAGUGACUUAAAUAUCUUAAAAAUUCACCAAAAAUCCCUCAUUCUUCUCUUCCUCUUGGCCGAAUGUCUUGUUCAAAGAAAGAAAGAAAACUCUCUCAAAUUUCAAGCUCUAAUCUUGCCCAAUCUUUCAAUUAAACCGAUUAAUCUUCCAAUUACUCCAUAAAACCUUUUAGUUUGGUGGAGUUGAGCUUGGUUGUGAAGUUGUUUGAGAAGCUAAGGUGACAAGUAGCUCUCCUUCUUGGUUUUGCUAAGGUGAGUGGUGGAUGAACACCUCUCCUUCCUCUAAUGAUGUUCAAAUCAUGUUUGGUGGUUGUAUAAGAUGCAAAUUUAUGGAUUAAAUCUUGAUUUUGGUUGAAUUGGUGAAGUUUUAUUAUUAUUGGGGAUUUUUUUCUGUUUUCAUAUGAACAUGCUUGUGGCACUAUAUAUGAUGAUUGGAAAUGAUGUUUAAGGGGUCUAUGAGGUGGAAAAAGUGAUUAAUUGCAAUCAAUUUCUGUUUUGGAAGAAAUUUCAGAAAAUCAGGGUUUUGUGAUGAACAUUCUGUCCGAAUUUUUAGGUCCUAGAUAGAGGCCGAAUUGGCAUUUGUUUAAAACAUGAAAGUUGUAGGGAAUGACAUUUUAAAGGUGUCUACAAAAUUUCAGGUCAAUCGGAGUAGUGUGGAAGGAGAAAAGUCGAAAUUACUAUUGCUGUUCUGGUUUUACUCGAAAUUGAGAAGUGCGUCUGUAAUUGGUUGUUUUGGCUGGGAAUGCUUUGGAAUUGGUUGUUGCGGUCUUCUGAUGUAUUGUAGCCCUGUUUCUUAGCUUUCAGCUGGUUUUGGAAUUUCUGGAUUUGGACUUGGAUAGCCUGAUUUAUGAUGUUUCCGCUAGAAUGCGUUCUGUGAAUAUGUUUUUGUCAUUCUGGUAUAGUUUCUUGCAUUUUUGAUCUUGUUACACUCGAAACUGGGUUGAGUGAUCUUCUGCAAUAUUGUAGCCCUAUCUCUUAGUUUCGAAACGGUGUACCUUGCACCUUCAUCCGACAAUCGUAGUGCCUUUGGUACCAUUACCGCAAAAUGACAUCAAAACCUGUUUUUCUGGUUUUGAGCUUAACUUUCAUUUCCGGACUUUUCCCUAGCUUGACUUGUCUUUGUACUUCUUGGAGUUUGCUGAAUGGCUAUUGGAUGAACUUGUUGUUGUGUGUGUACCUUUGGGUUUGAAUGAGAAGAAUAAUGAAGCCAUGAUGGCUGGAAAAGUUAGCAAAUGUAGGGGAAGUGCUGUCCGAACUUUUAAAGGACUUGUUUGCAUUGAGUUUGUGAUCUAAGACUUGGAUUUGAGCAAGGCAAUGUUAUAUGAUGGAUGAUUUCUGAGCCAUGGAGGUGAGUGACCCUAAACUGUUUCCAAAGUUACUUUUGAAAUGUUCCUUGCAUUGUUUCUUUGGUUUGCAUAUCAUGUGUGCGCGCAUACGAGUUCUUGACAUGGUUUGGCUUUAAUGAGUUCUUGAGGAGUCUUGUGCUGGACACCAACGUCUCCACCACUUUCGUGAGUUUGUGAUAUGAUCUGGAGCACCGAUGCUGCUCCCCUUUAAUGUUUAUGGUUUCGUGAUCUGUUUGAGCGUUGGGUGUUUAGUUUCAAUGAUUUCACUGGCUCACGAGAGCAAAAAUACGUGCAUUUGAUACUUGAAUCAUGACAUCAUCGAAAUGAAUUAUUGUGAAAGAUAUUUGAUUACUGGUUUUAUUUGGUUACUCGCUGAGCUUCUAACUUACCCCAAAAAUAUUUUAUUCCCCUCCACAGGGCUCAAGGCGAAGGCAGGACUUGUUGUGCUUAUUCCUGUGAAUGGAUGGAUUAUCUCGUGUAUGGUUUGAAUUUGGAUUUCCUUUUGUGUAAUAGUUAUUAUUAGGGAUUGUAAUGAAUGUUUGGAAUCGAUUGGAUGUAUACAUACGUUCCACGCUUGGAAUUAGUUUCCGCUUCGUUUUGUUUAUAUGUAAAUAUUCGAGAUUUACAUUGUAAUAUUUGAGGUUUAUUCUUGUAAUAUAUUUGAGGAUUGUAGUGAACGACUGAGUCCCGGCGAGAGCUGGGCAGGCGGCCCGCCGAACCCUCUGGUUCGCCUCAGGGGGAGGUGGGGCCGUCACACUUAUUCGCGAACGUUCGUUAAAAUUCGCAAACAUGUUCGUGUUCGCUCGAUUAUUAAACGAACACAAAAUUUUAUUCGUAUUCGGUUUGUUUAAGGUUUUCGAACAAGCCUUUAACGAACAUGAACGAGCCGAAACGAAUUGAGCUAACGAACAGCUUUGUUCGUUUAACAGCUCUACAUGUGGUAAAUGUCUUUUGGAGAAGAGAUCUUCCAAAUUUUAUUUUGCCAUUUCUAAUGUCGGAUUUGUUGGGAAGUUAAAGAAAUUUGGAUGUUUUUAUUAAAAAAAAAUUGGAAACUCUAUGUUAUAUCUUAUCUUCUUGUGUGUCUUCUUACUCUUAUUAUGACAUUAACUUAUGCACUUAAUAAAAAAAAAGAAUAUGAGAUAUAAAUAAAUUUUUAAACUUUACAGAUUAUCUUAUCUUACUAUAGCUGUUCUGUUUUGGACUGAAGAUCUUCUAAAUUUUUUUAUAUUAAAUUUUAAUAUAAUGCAUGUUGUGACGUGAAAUUUAUGAGAUAAAAUGUAUUAAAGUACAUGUAAGUGCCCGGUGCAACCCAAUGAGUACAAACAAAUUCACAAUGAUGCACAAAGAUAUAUCAAAUUUAAGCACAAUAAAGAAAACUUAAUUAAAGAGAAAAGAUAAGAAAUGCAAACCAAAUAUCAAUCCAAUAGCCUCUUCAAUUGAUGGCGAUGCUAACCAAGAUGUACAAGUGAAGGUUCACUCCUUCCUCACCCCAAACACACUUUGGUUAAGCCAAGGAGUUUUACAACUAUUUUAGUUAACCCUCAACAACCUACACUUGAAAGAUCACUCACCCAAUUAAGAACUAUUUUACACAAAUGAGGCAACCUUCACCAAGGUUUUACCACUUCAAGUGAUAGGUUCACCUUCACCAAGGUUUUACUCCUCUUAGAGAAUAACCUUCACUUGAGCAACCUCACAACCCAACUUUCCCAACCCCUUAUACAACCAACAAAGAAUCUUUCUACUCAAAAAUCUCACUUGUAAGCUUGUAUUUUGUGUUGGCAAAAGUCUCUAGUCUUCUUGUGCUUUGGGGUUUUUAUAGAAGGUGAGAAAUGGCUCCAAAAGACUCUCCAACGGUCAAAUAUUAAAUGCUGUCAAAACUAGCCGUUGGCCUGUCGGACGUCCGACAGGUGCCUGUCGGACGUCCGAACCCUGCGUCCGAACGUAGGCAGAGAGUCAUCAAAUCUUUGCGAAAUUUCUCGGACGUCCGAUGCGAUCAAUGAGCGUCCGACAGAGUUUUCUUCUUGAUGUUCUUCAUCCUUUCGGACGUCCGAUAGCGUCCUUUUGGCCUUCCGACAUGAGUGACCUGAUUUUGCUUCUUCAUUUGGUUGGUUUUCUUUCCUUGACACCAUUGAACCUGAUUCUAACAAAUUUCUCACAUAAAAACAUUAGACCAAAUCUACAUUUUGGUUUGUUAAACAUCAAAACCAAGGAUUGAUCGACCAAGGUCAACAGUACAUAUUAUUGAAUAAUGUAAAAAAAAUCAUGAGGUUUUACAAUAUCCCCUUCCAUAACACAACAUCUCAAAAGUCAUACUGGAUUGAUUAAAGUUGCUUAUAUUUGUUAAAAAUCCAAAAGUUGUACAUGUUUAGUACCCAAUACUUGAACGCUUAGGAGGUUUUUUUUGGGUAAUGCCCUUUUGAAAUAGUAGAAGAAGUAUGCACUUUAAACAUUUUAUUCUGUAAUUUUCAUUGUUCUAUUUGAAAUUCUCAAAAAAAAAAUUACUUCUUAAGUAUUUAAUUUUUACAAACAUGAAAAUUCUUUUUUCCUUACUCUGGAAGACUAAUUCUCAAGAUAGAAUAUAUUUAUGUUCACCAAAGCAUUACUGCAUUCUAGUUGUCCUUCCACUAUUUAACUACUUAAGAGAAUGUUAAGUUGCAAAUAUUAUGGCAGCUAUUGUCUACAGGUCCAGAUUCUUGAAGUUGUUUUUUUUUUUUAUUAUAAUAUGCAAGACUAUGAGUCAAAUCACCUUAACUAGAGAAUGUUGUGAAACAUAUAGUAAUUGGCAUAAUUUUUUGAUGCUAGGGAGUCCUAAAUGCUCAAACAAUUGGAGGAUGAUGAAGCUUAGUUCUUCAUAUACUACUUGAAAAGUUAGGCCUUGUUUGGAUUGUGAUUUUUUGAAAAAAAAAAUAUUUUCUGUGAACGCAUUUUCUAGUUAUUUUUUUAUCUCACAUACAUCAAGUCGUUAUAAUAUAUUUUUCUACAAAAAAUUCCUAAAAAUGAUAGCAUAUACCGGCAUUAGAUUACAUAAACUUGAGGAGUUGAAAGGGAAUUUGGAUCAAGUUGUCAAAACAAUUCUUUUCCUAAACAGUAUGAUAUGAUAGCAUUUGCAAAAUCUCAAGGCACAGUGGUUGGAAUUAUGCGUUUUUCUCUGCUCCAAAUGUUGCAAAAUAUCUUACAAGAUUCAUGACUUAAUGGGAAUUCUAUAUUAAUUUAUAUUAUUUUAGGGUUCUUGAAGACUUUAUUAGUUUAUUAUUUUAGCUGAUACAGAUAUAGACUUCUCAUUUGCUUUUGGAAGUAUUUUAUGCAACUGGUAAUUGAGCUAAGAAAUUAUAUAUCUUCAACUUGGAGUUUUCUUCUACAGUUCCUGUAAUCUUUUUUGUUUGUCACUUUUUGAAGAACAGGUUUGUACUUUACAAAAAUGAACAAAAAAUAGCAUGCAGAAACUGAAACCAAAAGACAAAGCGCAUGUAUGUUGAUUUGGAUAGCAGUGCCAUAAUUGUUAUUCUAUUCUCUUUUUUUCUUUAACUAAUAGCCUUUCAUUUUUUCUUUAACUAAUAGCCUUUCAUUUUUUCUUAUGGAGUAAAUUCAAUACAAAAAUUGAAAGAUGAGCAAUCUCUAUAAUUGUAGGUGUAACUAUAGACUGCAAGUUUGCAUGCAAUUCAUGGUUUGAUCUCUAUAUCUUUUGAACUUAAUGUUUGUGAUUAAGUUUUUUACCCCAAGAAGCCAAAUGGAGUUGACCCUCAACUUUGAGAAAAUUUCUUUUUAAGCUUGGAAAUUUUGACAAUUUUUUAAGUUGUUCCUUAUUUGCACCAUCUCAAAUUUUUGAAAUUCUCUUUCGUAUCUAAAUUGCCCCCAAUAUUUUUUAUGUUCUUUUUCUUAUCUACAUUUCCCUUCUCAAAUUUUUUAAAGUCUUUUUUUUAAAUCUACAUUCAUCCCCUAAACAAAUCAAAAUUUCUUAAUUCUUAUGCUUCAGAAGAGUGUUGGAUCUAAUUAAGGUUAGUUAUAAACACUUGUGACAUUUUCCAAACAACUGUUACAUUAUGCCACAAUUUUAAUUACAAACUAUAAUUGACAUGAGAGGAAAACUUAACAUAGGCAUCUUUCGAUUGUAAAUUUACUAUUAUUAAAUUUCAUAUAAUGUAGAAAAUUGAAUCUCCUAACCUUAGGAUUCUAGUUCCCCCACUAUACACAAUUCUUAAAAACAUACAAAAAAAACAAUAUAUAGAGAUUUGGUGCUAUCAUAUAUAACAUACAAAAAAAACAAUAUAUAGAGAUUUGGUGCUAUCAUAUAUAUUUCACUUUAUAAUUUUGAGUGACAAUUGUGUAGAGUCCUUUUAUAUAUUGAAUUUCAGAAUACAAUUUCAAAUUCCUACCAAUCUCUGUAAUUUUUCCUGAAGUUAUAUGCAGGUCCAAGAGUAACCUUUAACAAGGAGUGGAGUUAAAUUAAUUUAGAAAAACAAAAUACUCAAAAUACCAAAUCAAAUCACCAAUGUACCCAAGAUUUUCUAUAAAAACUUAUGUAACUGCUAUAAAAGAUGGAAGAUUACUGCAAAAUACAAGAUCUGAUCUAGUCGCGACUAAUUGAGGUAGAGGGUGGUUUAACGGGCGGGAUGGGGAAUGGAAGGGGUGGCAGGGGAGGGAAGGGGAGGAGAAAUGAAGAAAAAGAAAGAGGAAGAAAGAGAAGGAGAGGGAGGAAGGAGAGAGGAGGAGAAGCAGAGAGAAGAAAAAGGGAGGGUGGUGCCGAUGGUGAAGGAGGGAGGGUGGUGAUAGUGGCAUUACGCCCCCUAAUAUUUAUAAAAACUUUUAGUGUGUAUUAUGAAUUUUUAAAUGAAAAGUUGCUUCAAUUAAAUACUUGUCCCCAAAAUUUGAGAAAUAGUAUACAAUACAUAUCAUUGUAAUACACUCUAAAUUUUAUUUUGGAUAGAUUUCAAAAAUCUUAUUUACAAAUAUAAAUAUUUAACUCAAAAAAAUUACUUUUAUAUUAAGUCUUUGCCCUCCAAACUUAAGAUAAUGAUUUGCUAAAGACAUUAUUGUCAUACAUUUCAUGUUUGGCCUCUCCCAACUUGGAAAUUCUGACUUUUAUUAUUGAAUGUAGAAUAAAUAUUUCCUAAAAACGUGUAGUUCAUAUUGAUUAAUAGAAGAAACAAAACAAAAAAAAAAGGCAAAAUAGAGAAUAUUGAUAAAUGUGGGCCAUUUAUAUUAGUAGAUUAGAUGUUAUAUUUUCAAGUAACAACUUUUCUUAAUCCACAUUGUAAUUUUGUUAGUAUUAGACUUAGCCAGAAAAGAAAAGCCACAAAGAUUCCAAAAAUUUUAUUCACAAAUAUAUCCUUUUACUCAAAAACUUACUUAUACAUUAAGUCUUUGCCCUCAAAACUUCAAGAAUAUGAUUUGCUAAAGGUAUUAGACACCCUCAUUAAUAGAAUUAGAUAUAAAGGAUUUUUUUAAAUCCACAUUCAUAAUUUCAUUUUAUUAGUUUUUGCAAAAAAAAAUUAAAACUGCCCUACCCACUAUGUUUUAGAAUAAAUAUUUUCUUUUUUUUUUGUAAAUUAAAGUUUAGAAUGAAAAUUUUUUUUUCCCCAUUUCAAGGUCAACGCGGGCAACAAGGUUGGGAGUCCUGAACAGGUUCACGGUCCAGUUCAGUGAAAACUAGGCUCUUUGAUGUUGGACCUUUGCAGAAUAAUUGUUGUUAUUGGGCCUUUUUGCCCGAACCAGUAUUUGUAGUAAUCUGUUCUUGAGCCUGAAUUAAACAUUGGCAAGGAAUAUUAAUGGGCCUGGCUAAUUGGAGCUUAUAUUUUCUCCUUAGGAACAAAUACUAACAAUCAAUGAAAAGAUUUUACCCCCAAAAAAAAAAAAUUCAAAUAGUCCUUCCUGAGCAUACCCUUUUUUCCCCCUUUUAGGCUAGAAAACCAAAAUUUGAUGGAGUAUACAAAUAUUUUAUAUAAUGUAGAAGUUCCUUCAGUUUAAGCACUUGAUUAAAGAUAUCAUAACUUCUAAAACUAUUAAUUUUGGAGAAAUAGGUUAGAGUGGAAGAUUUUGCCAUUAUAUUGAUUCCAAUUCCAUGCAAAUGUUCUUGUGGAUGUACUUUAUUUUUUUGAGAUACUCAGCAUGAGAACUAAAUUAUGAUGAAAUGCUAUUGGAUUAAUCUCUUAUACACUAACAGUGUAUACACUAUCGCCAUUAAAUGCAUGACAACUAAUCUAAAUUUCAAUUUCAAUUUCAAAUUUUGCUCAUGUGUCAUAUAUCUAAUCUUGAUAGUGUAUGCACUAUUAAUGUAUAUAAGAUUUACUCAAUGUUAUUGUGCUAAACUAAUUUCAUAUCCUUAUACUGAAUAAGGAGGGCCUUGAAUCAAACUUUUCCUUUGAAUUUCUAUGCUAGUUUUGGGGUUAACGUACAAGUAGUAGAAGCAGGCAUUUUGAGUGUAGUUACUCUUUUGGCGUUAAAAUCUUGAGACAUCGAAUAUCUUUAUAAUAGGGUUUGUUUGGAUUGUAAGUUAUUUGGGAUAUUUUUAUUAUAGCACUUUUUUGUGAUGUGAUGUAUGUGAGAUAAAAAGGUAAUCGGGAAGAUAAAAAAGUGUAUUGAAAAUUGUAAUGAUGAUGUAAACAAAUAAAAUUGGAGAAAUAAUGCUCAAUCCAAACAAACCCAAAUAAUCCGCAAUCCAAACAAAUGCGUAGAUAGUUAACUUUUUUUUUUAAUAGUGUAGGUAGUUAACUUAAUUUUACGUGUUUUCAUAUUUAUCUUUAUCUCUAUUAUCCAUUAACCUUAUCUCUAUUAUAAAUUGACACACAAAUCCUACUCAACAAAAUCCAUCUCCCUUUAAUUCUGACGUUCUCCUUAAUUAAUGGUUUUUCACUUUUCUAACCAUCUUCUCCGGUCAAUCAACAUUUUCUCUCAAAUUUUAAUACCGUUUCAUAUAGCACAUUGUACAUAUUUCUGUAUAAUGCACUUUGACAACAUAUUACAUAAAAUAGUUAUAUUCGCUUGCAUUAUUUAUGUGAUUUAUUUAAUUAAAAAUAUUUUUUUAACAAGUUAUACACGUUCGAUGACUAGUUAGUUUAAUACGUGUGUUUCUUUCGAAACGACUGUUGGAAUUGCUGUUAAUUCGGUUAUUCAAAUGAUGCAAACUGAUUAUCACAUGAUUGCUGAGCAGAGGUCACCGCGGUUACUUCCGUAUUGCUGAAAAGCCAACCGUUACUUCCACGUCUUAGAAAACUGGAAAGCCGUCACUUCCUCCUCUCCCAUUUUUGUCGGUGUUCCGCUUCGUACAUAUACGUCCACCGGUCCACCCCUUGUUGCUGUUGCUGCCUUUGUUUUCAACUUUCACUUUCUCUCUCUUUUUUUUUUUUUUUUUUAACUUGGUUUUUUAAUUCAUAAACUUAUCUUGCUUUUAUUUUAUGGAUGCAAAUUUUCAUUCUCAUUAAUCUCAUGUUUUUCUCGCUUACGGUAAUUGUGAAAUUUGUACUCUUUUACUCGACAUUGUUUGUCAAGCUAAAAUUUCCCUUUUGAUGAAGAUUCAGUUGGGUUGUGCCUUCAAGGCCGUUCAUGAAACAAAAACUAACCUCUAGGUAGGUGCAAGUGCAACCCAAUCCUCCCUCUGAAAUAAAUCAUUCGCCUACCUUUUUUUUUUUUUUUUAUAAUUACAGCUACGUUUAAUUUAUCGUUGUGGGUUGUUACCAAGAUUUGGAUUUUGGGUUUUAAAAUUGAAGGCUUUUUGGUAAAUCUAAUGCCAAAAAGAGUAACAUGUUUUGGGGCAGCUUUUUUAUUUUAGAGAGUAGUGGUAAAGCCAAUGUAGCUACAGUAAUUUUUUUUAGACAUAUAUAUCAAAUCGUUACAGUAAUUUUUUUGAAACUCGUAUCAAUCCGCAGAAUUUGAUUCUUAUUCGAGAGUGAAGGUCUGGCCAGAGCUCUUUCAGAAAUCGAACUUGCGACCGCCGAUUGUUAAACAGAAGUCGAACUUGCGACCUCCUCCGAUUGGAAUUAACAACCGCUUAUUAACUGCUCCAAUUUUACGGGUUAUCGGUUGACCUUUUUGACUAAGCAGUAAUUUACUAAUUGUCACUUUUUUUCAUGUCCACUCACCUUUUACUUUUUCAUACAAUUACCCUAUAAACGCUAAUUAACAAGCUUUCACUUAACGUCCAUUUAACAUACUCUUUAUGAAUCAAGGAUGGGAAUUCUACUUCAAUAAUUACAUUAAUUACCAGAUAUCUCUAUAACCAAAAGGUAUUAAUGGCCUCUCGUAUCGUUUAUGCUUUAUAGCUCCUUUGCUUCGGACUCCACUUUCAAGUUCUUUUCUUUUUUUUUGUCUUGAUGUCUCUAUUUGAAAUUUCUACUACAUUUCCAUCUUCAAAUCCAAAUUCCGAUGUGAAUCUACCAAACAAAUAAAAAAAUAAAAAAGAAAAAAAAGAAAGCCACACUUCCAAUUUUUUUAGAAAAAAAACCUGCAUUAAAUAAAACAAAUUAAGAAUACACAAGCACAAAAUUUACAAAAUAUCCAUUAAAACCCUCCAUAAAAACUUUUCCAUCAUGCAUGCAUAUACGACACAUUGUCCAUAUACACAUGAAAUUCCAACUCUCUAUUAACAAAUUCCAACUCAAGAAAUUCGAGGACACUAUUUUCCCAUUUUACCCCUUAAAAACCACCAUGACUACUACUGCUUACCACUACAGCUACUAGACUAUUUUUUUUUCAUUAAUUAAUUUUCUAGUCCUCCUACUUCUCCAGUUCUCCCUAAGGACCCUACCCUAUGCAAAGCCCUCACGUGCACACUCACAGACCUGGGUCUCAUGUUACACGUGCGAGCGGCUCAUGAAUUUCAAUUUUCAUGUUUUCCACUGUAAUAAACAUGGACUUUCGAUUUUUCCCUUUUCUUUUCCCCCGCCCCUCCUUAAGUUAAUACGGCUUCUGCAGGUACAUGAACAUAUCCUGGAGCGGCGACAUCUGAUAAGUCCCCUGGAAGUGAGGAGGAGGAGGAGGAGGAGGAUUCAUCAAUGCAUUUCCGGUGCUGUCCAUGGCAGGGGCAUCCACGUAAUUAAAGGGAAAAUCGAGGGCGGCUUUCUCCCAGUCGCUCAGCUUGCGCUCGCUCUGGACUUCGCACGUGUUGUGCGAGGAGAAUUCAGGGGAGACCACUUGCUCCGAACAGCUGGAGUCGGUGUGCAGCUUGGGGACGGAAUCCGCUGGGUCGAGGUACAUGAAAUCGCUGUACACCACCGGUGAUGUCUCGGCCAAUGACGUCAUUAUCACCGGCUUUUUGUCCUCUUCUGUC